This 501-nucleotide ribosomal RNA is filed under the name uncultured bacterium. RNAcentral's name for it is "partial 16S ribosomal RNA". It matches the Rfam family "Bacterial small subunit ribosomal RNA", at positions 30 to 523 of the family's 1533-position model. The record is from RNAcentral.
AUUGAACGCUGGCGGCAGGCUUAACACAUGCAAGUCGAGCGGGGGGAGGUAGCUUGCUACCGGACCUAGCGGCGGACGGGUGAGUAAUGCUUAGGAAUCUGCCUAUUAGUGGGGGACAACAUCUCGAAAGGGAUGCUAAUACCGCAUACGUCCUACGGGAGAAAGCAGGGGAUCUUCGGACAUUGCGCUAAUAGAUGAGCCUAAGUCGGAUUAGCUAGUUGGUGGGGUAAAGGCCUACCAAGGCGACGAUCUGUAUCGGGUCUGAGAGGAUGAUCCGCCACACUGGGACUGAGACACGGCCCAGACUCCUACGGGAGGCAGCAGUGGGGAAUAUUGGACAAUGGGGGGAACCCUGAUCCAGCCAUGCCGCGUGUGUGAAGAAGGCCUUAUGGUUGUAAAGCACUUUAAGCGAGGAGGAGGCUACUUUAGUUAAUACCUAGAGAUAGUGGACGUUACUCGCAGAAUAAGCACCGGCUAACUCUGUGCCAGCCGCCGCCGUAA